This 1274-nucleotide long non-coding RNA is filed under the name Homo sapiens (human). RNAcentral's name for it is "HSALNT0201365". The record is from RNAcentral. Lineage: Eukaryota; Metazoa; Chordata; Mammalia; Primates; Hominidae.
GAGUAUUUGAUUUUCUGAACAGAACACAAAGCAUUGUCUGUUUUAGGAAUUGGCCUGUCUUCAGGAUCCAUUCCCUUAUUUCAAUCAUUCUUAAAUUCUAUCCAAGGACUGUUGUGUUUCAACCGUUGAUCUCCCUUGGAACAGAUGACCUGAGAUCAGAAAAGAGAGGUGCUCAUUAUUUAUGCAGGCAGUUGGUUAUUUAACACAUCUUUAACUCUUAAAAUUACCCUUCCAAAACUUGUACAUCUCUGAGGAGACAUUUCUAGAGAUGGAACUCCCAUUUUGACUAAAGCUUUUGUUAAAAUCAGAGGGGCAGGGCUAUAACUGCCCAGCCAAAUUCUUGAUUCGAUGCAAAAUACAAGUAGGUUGGGUUCUUAUGCCUAAGCCUAUAGAAAACUCUACAUACCCUGUCUUCAUGUAAUGAAAUUGGUCUUCUCCUUGAAUGCAGUUUUCAAGCUGCUGAAUUCUGCACCUGCAGCAAUUUCUGGCUUAUUUUCAAGAAAGUCCCAGGGAAUCACAAAUUAUAGAGCUAUAUGCCUUGCACAGAAGUUUAACAACAUAGCCCCAUGUAGUCUUUGCAUUAAACACAUCAGAAAUUAAGGGAAAUGAAGAUAAACAGCAAAUAUUAAAAUUUGGUUGCACUCAGCAUGUAUGAAAGUAGGGGUUGUACAGUCGUUUGCUUAGUGUUUCUAUGGCCCAAAUAAGCCUACUUUUAGUUAUUUCCUGCACCUUUCUAAAAUCCUAACACUAUGUGUCAGGAGUAAUGAGUCUCUAUUUUUAAAAAAUUGUGUUUAACCAUAUUAAAUCCAAUAAUGAAGUCUCUGAAAUAAUUCAGACAGCAGUGCUGUCAAUCAGUAGAGCUUUUUCAAGAAACACUAAUUGUCCUGUGAGAUGGUGCAGCAGGCUGUGUAGAAAGUUGAACAUUUACAUGAUCUCUAGCCAAAUUUCCAGUGUCUGCCUAGAUUUAUGGCUUUCAGUCUCACUGAAGUUUUGUAGUCUCAUAUGACACUCAUUGUAUUCGUAUCUAUUGACUGAUGACAUAUCAGCUAAUAAGUACAUAAAUAUAAGUAAUGUUAGAAAAUCACAGCUGGGCGUGGUGACUCAUGCCUAUAAUCCCAGUACUUUGGGAGGCCGAGGUGGGUGAAUCACCUGAGGUUAGGAGUUGGAGAUCAUCCUGGCCCACAUGGUGAAACCCCAUCUCUAAUAAAAAUACAUUAACUGGGCGUGGUGGCGGGCACCUGUAAUACCAGCUACUCCAGAGGCUGUGGCAGGAG